GCAGGCUGCAACCCGCCUGUAUGAAGUUGGAAUCGCUAGUAAUCGCGGAUCAGCAUGCCGCGGUGAAUACGUUCCCGGGCCUUGUACACACCGCCCGUCACACCAUGAGAGUCGGGAACACCCGAAGUCCGUAGCCUAACCGCAAGGGGGCGCGGCCGAAGGUGGGUUCGAUAAUUGGGGUGAAGUCGUAACAAGGUACC
RNAcentral lists this ribosomal RNA (200 nucleotides) under uncultured bacterium. RNAcentral's name for it is "partial 16S ribosomal RNA". It matches the Rfam family "Bacterial small subunit ribosomal RNA", at positions 1300 to 1500 of the family's 1533-position model. The record is from RNAcentral.